Molecule: long non-coding RNA, 702 nt
Filed under: Medicago truncatula (barrel medic)
Lineage: Eukaryota; Viridiplantae; Streptophyta; Magnoliopsida; Fabales; Fabaceae
Description: long non-coding RNA (MTRU_LNC000791)
Source: RNAcentral
UGAAUCGUAGAAUGAUUAAAGUAAUAAUUGAUAAUAUAUGUACUAUUUUUAUGAUGAUAACAUGUUUUGUACGUUUUUACAAAGUAAAUUUGCAAAAAAAAAACUCAAUAAAAUCUCAAUUUCUAGAUGUUCUCUUUGUAUUGUUAAAGUAGAAAGUUUACAAACAGAACAUAACUAAGGGUUCGGUUCUUGUUGCUUUGGUCUUCAUCGCAUCGAACCAUAUCUCUGCCCUUCUUGCAUAGUAGCCUCCCACUACCAUAUUUUCAUAAGCAGCUUUCAAUUCUCUGGUACAAAUCCUGAUUCUGUAAUUUGGACCACCAAUUUCCAUUCCUGUUUUUGAUACAAGAAUACUCAUGAAUGAGAGCAUCUUAGAACUCAGUCCAAGGUCAAAUCUUUCAAACAAAGCGUCAUCGCUAUCAAGCUUCCCUUCUGUUAUAUCCUUAGAUAGGAAUGGAAGUUCAUUAUUCAAAAAACAAUUAAUGAUGGAGGGUAGAAAGCCUCCUCGAAUGCUAAUUUGUACCAGUUUUCCUCCUCUCUGGACCUCGGACGCGGAUCCGCGAAACUAACGAAGUCCAAUUCAUCAAGCUUAGCAACAAUUGCUUUGGAAAAUUUUGAAGGUGUGGUUGCUAAAACCUCAAGUAACUCAUGACAGUGCGAGGUGAUCACCGUUGGUAAUUUUCAAAUGUUAGCGGAAAGACAGAC